GUUUUUUACCCAUAAUGGUUGUGAAUUUACCUUCUCCUCUUUGCAGUGAUAAAGGAGGUAAAUUCACAACCACUGUGGGCAGAAAC
Molecule: microRNA precursor, 86 nt
Organism: Cercocebus atys (sooty mangabey)
Lineage: Eukaryota; Metazoa; Chordata; Mammalia; Primates; Cercopithecidae
Source: Ensembl